RNAcentral lists this ribosomal RNA (287 nucleotides) under uncultured bacterium. RNAcentral's name for it is "partial 16S ribosomal RNA". It matches the Rfam family "Bacterial small subunit ribosomal RNA", at positions 333 to 618 of the family's 1533-position model. The record is from RNAcentral.
GUGUGCCUAUGGGGGCAGCAGUGAGGAAUAUUGGUCAAUGGGAGGAAUCCUGAACCAGCCAUGCCGCGUGCAGGACGACGGCUCUACGAGUUGUAAACUGCUUUUGUACCGGGGUAAAAUGCCUUACGAGUAGGGUUUUGAAAGUACGGUACGAAUAAGGAUCGGCUAACUCCGUGCCAGCAGCCGCGGUAAUACGGAGGAUCCGAGCGUUAUCCGGAUUCAUUGGGUUUAAAGGGUGCGUAGGCGGGCCUUCAGGCCGGCGGUAAAAUUGCGGGGCUCAACCCCGC